GGGAUUGUGGCUCAGUGGUAGAGCACUUGCCUAGCAUGUGUGAGGCACUGGGUUCAAUUCUCAGCAAAUCAU
This 72-nucleotide transfer RNA is filed under the name Ictidomys tridecemlineatus (thirteen-lined ground squirrel). Its description in RNAcentral is "Spermophilus tridecemlineatus (thirteen-lined ground squirrel) tRNA". It matches the Rfam family "tRNA". Rfam says of the family: Transfer RNA (tRNA) molecules are approximately 80 nucleotides in length. Their secondary structure includes four short double-helical elements and three loops (D, anti-codon, and T loops). Lineage: Eukaryota; Metazoa; Chordata; Mammalia; Rodentia; Sciuridae. The record is from Rfam by way of RNAcentral.